This 292-nucleotide long non-coding RNA is filed under the name Ananas comosus (pineapple). RNAcentral's name for it is "long non-coding RNA (ACOM_LNC041319)". Lineage: Eukaryota; Viridiplantae; Streptophyta; Magnoliopsida; Poales; Bromeliaceae. The record is from RNAcentral.
CGAGAGUGUAAAUUUGGAACGAAUCGAUGUCAACGUUCACAAGAACUAAAACCGGAACAAUAUUAGACUACUCAAUUGCGCCAUAACAGUAUAACCUUGCGACGAGUACUUUUUCUCAUUAAAUCGAAUAAAGAGUAAAACCUAAUUAUAAUGUUCUCUUAUGCCCCGAGAGUGUAAAUUUGGAGCGAAUCGAUGUCAAUAUUCACAAGAACCAAAAUCGGAACAACAUUAGACUACUCAGUUGCGCCAUAACAGUAUAACCUUGCAACGAGAACUUUUUCUCAUUCUAACG